GACGAACGCUGGCGGCGUGCCUAAUACAUGCAAGUAGAACGCUGAAGGAGGAGCUUGCUUCUCUGGAUGAGUUGCGAACGGGUGAGUAACGCGUAGGUAACCUGCCUGGUAGCGGGGGAUAACUAUUGGAAACGAUAGCUAAUACCGCAUAAUAGCAGUUAUUGCAUGAUAACUGUUUGAAAGGUGCAAUUGCACCACUACCAGAUGGACCUGCGUUGUAUUAGCUAGUUGGUGGGGUAACGGCUCACCAAGGCGACGAUACAUAGCCGACCUGGGAGGGUGGUCCGCCACACUGGGAAUGGGGCACGGCCCAGACUCCUUCGGGAGGGAGCAGUAGGGGAUCAUCGGCAAUGGACGGAAGUCUGACCGAGCAACGCCGCGUGGGUGGAGAAGGUUCUCGGGUCGUAAAGCUCUGUUGUAAGAGAAGAAAGGGUGUGAAGGUGGAAAGUUCACACUGUGACGGUAUCUUACCAGAAAGCGACGGCUAACUACGUG
Molecule: ribosomal RNA, 495 nt
Filed under: uncultured bacterium
Lineage: Bacteria
Description: partial 16S ribosomal RNA
Rfam family: Bacterial small subunit ribosomal RNA
Source: RNAcentral